This 71-nucleotide transfer RNA is filed under the name Niveomyces insectorum. RNAcentral describes it as "Sporothrix insectorum tRNA-Ala". It matches the Rfam family "tRNA". From Rfam's summary of the family: Transfer RNA (tRNA) molecules are approximately 80 nucleotides in length. Lineage: Eukaryota; Fungi; Ascomycota; Sordariomycetes; Hypocreales; Cordycipitaceae. RNAcentral also lists the same sequence under 1 other name. The record is from RNAcentral.
GGGAAUAUAGUAUAAUGGUAUUACAGUUAGGUUGCAUCUAACUUAUUUAGGUUCAAAUCCUAAUAUUUCCA